This 119-nucleotide ribosomal RNA is filed under the name Pteropus alecto (black flying fox). The record is from RNAcentral. Lineage: Eukaryota; Metazoa; Chordata; Mammalia; Chiroptera; Pteropodidae.
GUCUGCAGCCAUACCACCCUGAACAAGCCCAAUCUUGACUGAUCUCAGAAGCUAAGCAGGGUUGGGACUGGUUAGUACUUGGAUGGGAGACCACCUAGGAAGACCAGGUGCUGUAGAUG